Molecule: long non-coding RNA, 1235 nt
Filed under: Ananas comosus (pineapple)
Lineage: Eukaryota; Viridiplantae; Streptophyta; Magnoliopsida; Poales; Bromeliaceae
Description: long non-coding RNA (ACOM_LNC030730)
Source: RNAcentral
AAGUUUCGAGCUGAUCACGAGCCAGAGUUUUCGAGCUCAUCACAAGCUCGAGCCGAACACGAUCCGACCUUGAAGAUGACGAGCCGAGCUCAAGCUGGCUCCAGCUCGCUCGAGCUCAGCUCGUUUACAGCCCUACCCAUUAUAGGUGACGUCGCAGGUCCUAGUGGGACAGUUCGUGAGAAGCGUACUUAGCGGUUCGGUUGAGCUUACAGACCCGUCCAUUAGUUUAAACUCUAAACUCAGUUUCUUUAAAUAAACAACUUAGACUGCAUUUAUGGUUCAGUAUUUUAUGUGAAUUGAAUAUUUGGGCUUUCGUGAAUGUAAUAAAAAAUUUGUGAUUUCUUGUGAAAUAAAAAUAGUUUUCUAUCCCUUAUAGUAGCGAGUUUUAAAAGAAAAAGGUUUCUAUGUGGUAAAAAAAUUUUAAAACGGUUUUCUUGAUUUUCGUGAUUUAGUGUUUUAAAACGAGUUUCCGGAUAUGAAACAUUUUAAACUAAUAGUUGUGGAUUUAUGAAUAACUUUAGUUGUGGAUGUGAUUGUAAAUGGUGUAUGAUUAUGUGUAUAUGCAUAUGUGUGGUUGUAUCCUGUAUGAUAAAUCUUGUAUCUUGUACUUGUGCUACGUCCUGCAAAUACAAGGAAGAUUCUAUCCGUGUGAACAGUGGACUCUCUGUAUUUGUAGCGGAUCUGACAAUACCCUAGGGGUCAGGAUUUUCAAAAAAAAAAAAUUUGGACACUGCCGCAAUUGGAUUUUAAUCCAAAAUAGGACCCCGGAGCGUGACAUAUUAAAAUGUAGCAUUAUAAGUUCCAUUCCAAAUACAAACCAAAUGACUUAAAAUUAUGCAGAGGUCGAAAACAUUAAAAACGAACAACACAACACAACGUAACUCAACACAACACAACGCAACGCAACGCAGCGUAUUGCGAAGAAUCAAUCAGAGUCGUCCGAAACUUCAUUCGGGAAAUCGAAGCCGUCCACCUCACCGUCGAGGUACUUACUCCUCGUCGUCCUCGUCGAAGUCCUCGCCAUCGAACUCGUCAUCUACGUCGUCGUCGUCGUCGAAUGAACAGUAAAUUAAAAAAAAUAGAUUGAAUAUAUAUAAAAAAUAAAUAUAUAAAAAUUUAUUUAUUAGACUUAAUCUAAUAUUUGAAACUUUACAUAUAAAUGAGUUUUUUUUAUAAUUGAGCUCGUCUUUAUAUUUUUAUUUUACUAAAAAUUAAAUAAUAAAAAUAUAUAUUAN